UCCCCCUUCACAGCCCCAUUCUCCCUCACCCCAUUCUCCCCUCACACCCCGUUCCCCCUCAGCCACUGCUCUCCCUUCACACCAGUGGUGCUGCUGUGCCCAUCAGAGGGGAGAUCCCGGGCUGCAGUGGUGCCCUUGGUUAUGUUUUUGGCCGAUCUACGCUUAUAGAUGAUAUUGGUGAUCCUCCAGGCUCAAAGGCUGCAGUUGUGCCAUCAAGCUCUUGUAUUAGAGACCAGUGACUCAUUUUGUCCUGUCCUUGUUCCAAAAGAAAUGCUGGGCCUUUCCAAGGCCACGGGGUCUUGAGUUUGCCCAAAGAGAACAUUCCUGAAAGAUCUGGCUCUAGAAUUAUCUCAGUUUUACCCCAUUUUCUCUGUCUGCACCUUUCAGGUGUGCAAAUACCCUCAUCCUUGGACCUGCUCCAGUGGCAGCUCCCUGGGAGGCUCCGCUCUGCAGCUGGAGGGGUCGAGGUGAUUCUCUGGCAUUUUGCUGGUUUACCUGGUGCAGAUUUACCUGGUCUGUGACGCUGGAUAAAGUCAGGAUCUAAUUCUUUUUCAGCCCAAAGGUACAUCCCACUGCUCCUUGGGGGGCUGGAGGAGGCUGGAUUGACACCUGGAGGAAGCAACUGAACUGGUGACAAGACACUGGAAAAUGCCCUUGGAGAAGGCAAAGGAAUGGCCCAGGCAGCUAAAAGACCACGUGCAGGGAUCAGGUUUAUUCGAAUGAGGCCUCGCUGGCACUCGAGGUGUCAGUGCCUGAAGGGCAGGUGGCAUUUUUGUUAACAAGGCUGAGGACACACAGGAACAGCUUGUCCUUGUUCCCUGGGGACACGGGUGUGGGUGACAGCACUGCAAACCUCCUUCCGGCACAGCGCUGGGCUCACAUCACCUGCCACGUGUCUCAAGGGCAAUUUAUUUUGAAUUGUGAACUCACAGAUUGACUUGUAAAUGUUCUAGAAAUACAUCCCGCCUUAUAAAAGCAUCCCAUAAUUCAUCCUAUCAUUCUUCACCUGCAACAAGAUGAUCUGGUCUUUAUAUUAAGAGCAAAAUGAAAUGCUUUGAGAACUGUAAACAGAGAAGAGAAGAUUCAAAGGUGCUUGGGCACUGGGCCAACCUACAGGGCUCUUCCUUGUGCAGGGUGGUUGGUUAGACCAAGGAAGAGCAAUUCUCCUCCUCUUUUUGCUGUCAGCUCCCUUGCAACUCCAAGGAAGUGGUUUCCUCAGUUGAAUGGUCCUCAGCAGUGCUGUGAGGGUGGCUGAAGAGCUUGUGAGGAUCACAAGACCUGCUUGUGAGGGUGAUUUCUUGAGGGCUCCUCCCAACGUGAAAGACCUGACAGUCUUAAAAAGCCGUGCAGAGGCCUUAUGGAGAUUUGUGAGCACAACAAACCCUGUCAGUCACAGGCAGGAGCAGCUGGUGUGUGCGUGGGACUUGACAGGAGAUGUGGCUCUCCCAGCACACUGGACUCUGAUAACCUGGGAGAUCCGGUGUCACUGUGCGUGUCACAGUGUCACUGUGUGUCCUUGGGUCAUGCACAGACAGCAGUGGAGUUGUGAUGGUGAGGAGACCUGGAGUGUCUGGGGGUGGUGAGGGGAAAACAACCCAGACAUGGCUGAUGCCCCAAAGGACUCCACUUGUGCUUCUCCACCUUAGUUGUGUUUAACCAUUUCAUAGGCUGCUUCUGCCCCUAAAUUGGAGACCAUUGCUGGUCUAAAUAAUCACAAAUUAUGUGCUGCAGGUUUAUGUUGGACAUUAGGAAGAAUUUAUUCACAGGAAGGGUGAUUAGAUGUUGGAAGAGGCUGCCCAGGGAGGUGAUGGAGUCACUGUCCCUGGAGGUGUUUGAGAUGGACGUGGCUCUCAGUGCUCUGGUCUAGUUGACACGGUGGUGUUUGGUCAAAGGUUGGACUCCAUGAUCUCAGAGACCUUCUCCAACCCAGCUGGUUCUGGGAUUCUGUGAAACAGGAUGGCUGAGGAGAGAGGCCUUGUCCGAGCUCAGCCAAGCCCCUGCAGUGCUGAGACCAGAGGAGACAGUGGCUGCAGCCCAGGCCACUGCUCUGGCCAUGGGCCCACACUGCUGCCCUCUGUCUGAGCUCUCCAUGCUUUCCCAAGAAAACAGAGGCCUCAUUAGAGGGAAAAGGGAAUUCUGUGGUGCCAGAGGUAUUUUUUCAAGAGCCGAUGCUCUGUCCUGGAGCCUGUUGUGGUGGUGCAACCCUGCUGAAUGAACUACAUGGAGCUGGAGCAGCAACCUCCUGGGAUGGAGGUUACUCCACUGGAAUGGGCAGGGAACACGCUGUGACAGAGCUGGGGCAGAUGGAGACUUCACAGAGCCAGCCCCAAAAUGCUUUUCACCUUCCAAGACAGUGGUGUAGGGCACUGCCUACAGCAGAGACAGAGCCCUUUUGGGUGUGGAGACGUCUGUGAAGCACCAGUGACACCCUUCCUGCUGUCUUCCCACAAAUGUGGGGUGUGGGGAAGAGGGGAAGGGAUGAAAUCAGGGUGGCUGUGGUGGAUCCUGUUUGUGAGACUGAGCCUCUGGCGAAUCCUCCGCUCUGCACCCCGUGGGCGUCCCUGGCAGUCUGUCCCCUCCUGCCUUGGCAGAGGAGCACUGCAGUUGGCACUCCUUUCACUGACACCUGAUUCAGCCAAAAAUAAGCUUUUCUAAGAUUUUUGAUGGAGUUGCACGAAACACCAGAAUAUUUAUGCCUUAAGUGUAUUGUUGGCCUCAGGCCUGCCAGGGCUCGGUUUUACCUUCUAUGGUCAUGCAGGAGGGCUGCAGUGAUCCCAGCCCAGCUCAUGGGAUCUGCUCCUUCAGCCUGGUCAGCUCGGAGCUGUUGAGCUGGGCUGGUGGUCAGGGAUCCCUCCUGCUUCCAAGUGAGUGUCCUGAUUUAACCCCAGCUGGCAGCUCAACCCCACACUCACUCCCUCCCUCUCUCCCUCCCCUGCAGUGGGAUGGGGGGAGAAUCAGAACAGUAGAAGUGAGAUAAGUUGUGUGUUGAGAUAAAUCAGUUUAAUAAGUAAAGCAGAAGCCCUGCACUCAAACAAAGUAAAACAAGGAACUCAUUCACUGCUUCCCAGCAGCAGGAACAGUGGGGGAGAAUUCUCCAUGUGAGAUCAAGGAAGUCUCUCCUACCAGAGGUCACUGCCUUGGGGGCAGUUUGUAGCCAAGUCCCCAUGGUUUAGAAGGGUUGUUCAGUGCAGCGUUGGACUACAUGUCUCCACCCUCUUCCAGCUUGCACAGCUGGGCUUGUGUUUCCCUAAAAAUUCUCAAGUGAAUACAGAAUUCAUCAUCUUCUGACCUGCUGUGCUGAGCCAGUGCUAAGCAGCUGCUCUGUUUUGGAAAGGAUGGAGGGAUUUCUGGGGAGGCCCCUGGGCAGGAUGAAUUUCUUUGUGUCAAAGGGCUGGUGGGACUGGGAGGGGGCUGUGGUUAUAGGAUCCCACCUGGAUCUGGCUUCUUUGGAGCAGGAUGCUCUGCAGAAAUGUUGAUAGCAACUUGGAGAGAUGACUCGGUUGUGUUUGGAGGAGGUGAUUUUCCGUGCCAGUAAAAGCUCAGUUUCUCUGGCAAAGAAAAGAACACAAAAAUGUUAAUAAUUGGGCAAGUUGCCUCAGUGCAACCCAAAUGUUGUUGUGCCUUCUCAGCUCUGCCAUCAGCCUUUAAUUCGGAGGCCCCAGAGGGGCCAUGCCUGGAUAUCCAGCAGUGUGAGGGGAGCUUUGCCUCUCCCUGCAGGGCUGACCUCAAGGAGGAGGAGAACCAUGGAGACUCCAACUACAAUAGCUCGUCAUCUUCUGCGUGGCCCAGCCCUGGAGAGGGCUGGGGGCUUGUCAGGGGGUUUGCAGCUCUUGGAAAAGGGACAGAUAAUGAGCACGAGCCUUUAUUUCUGUAUGACUUGGAGGAAUUAAAAUGCAAGCCAGGAAAACAAAGGACAGGCAAGUGGGAAGCUUCUGAGGGCUGUCUCCACAGAUUUUAUUGUCAGCUGUAGUGAAAUACAUGUAUUUAUGAUCAAUUAAAGAGACAUAUUACAGUCAUCUGACAUCAGUGGUGCCACCCCAGCUGUGCUGAAAUGAGCCCAAACUGUUGUGUUUCCAGCUGGGGACUCCUCUCCAGGAGGGAUUGCCUGUGGUGUGGGGUUUCCCUGUACGUGAUCUUUUCGGGUCAGCCUUGCUCCUCAGAAGGCAGUGACACUUUUGUUCAGAAUUAUUCCAUCCUGUCUAAAUUAAUCUUUUUGUUGCUAAUCUGGGCAGUAACGAGAUCGCAGUGGGCAGGGCUCUCCUCACACACGGGGCUUGUAUUAAAAAUAGACGUUAAAUUAGAAUUUCUUGGGCCCUUUCAAACUGAUCCUGGACCUUCGUCAAGAGAUGUCCAUGCUUUUCCUCCCCCAGCAUUCCUCCCUCCUUGGAAUCCUGCUUCCCUCACGAUUUUUUGAUUAGCAUCGCUUGCUGCCAUAGAUAUUAUUUCUCAGAUUAUGUUUCACCCUCCCCUUCUCCGUAUCCCACUGCAGCCACAGAGCAGGACAAUCCCUCAUCCCAGUCUCAGCAGGGCAGGAGGGGAUAAUGUUGCUGACAGAAGACCACAGGAGGCAAUUAACAGCUUCUCCAGCAAGCAGGCCCUGACUGGAUACGGGUUAUUCCGUGCUAAACAAAGAGCCAUUCCAUAAUCACAGAAUUCCAGAACUGUUAUGGUUGGAAGGGACCUCUGGAGAUCAUCCAGUCCAACCCCCUUGCCAAGGCAGGGUCACCUGGAGCAGGUGACACAGGAAUGCAUCUAGGUGGGUUUGGGAUGUCUCCAGAGAGGGAGACUCCACACCCUCCCUGGGCAGCUGUUCCAGGGCUCUGCCACCUCCAUGGAAAGAAGUUUUUCCUUGUGUUGAGGUGGAACUUCUUGUGUUGUAGUGUAUGGCCAUUGCUCUUCAUCCUGUCAUUGGCCACACUGAACAGAGUCUGGCACUGUCCUCUGACACCCACCUGUGAGAUAUUUAUAACACAGUCACUUCUCAAAGAGCCCUCCUGGAGGGGGAGAUAAAGGAGGGCCUGGGGACAGAGGCUGUUCUGCAUUUCUGCUGUGCUGGCUUUCUGCUUGGGCAGGAUUAUUCCAAGAGUAGGUUCCAAGCGGUACUUUUUGUCAGGAGUGGCCUGUGUGGAUGUGACACACCACACCUGAGUGCCUCCACAUCACCAAGGCCGUGCUGGAUGGUUCUGAACUUCUGGCUCUGCAGAACAAAUGGUCCCAUGAGCAGUGGGAACGACCCCAAAAUCCUGUUUCCCUGCAUUGCUGUUUUGGGCUCAGUGUAAUGCAGAGCAAGAUUCAGCCCCUGGCUGUAGGUGUGAGGAAAUUCUGUGGAGGGAAGUGUUUGCCCUCCAGGGGCAUCUCCCAAGGGUGUUCUGCACUGCUGGGAAUCACACACCACCCAGAGCAGCCUUUGUGCAGGGAGAAGGGCCAGCAAGUAUCUGGUGCAACACUGGAAGAUACUGGUGGGUUACUGGGAAGUGCUGGUGGGUGAUGGGAAGUCUGACACCAACAUCGGUGAGGGCCCAGCAUCUCCUGAAGCUCCUGAACCUGCUGCAGGGAGGUGGAGUCUCCACUGGAGCCUUGCUGCAGCCUUGGAGCGCUCCAGAGGUGGUGGGAGAGCUGGAGAAACUCCACCUGCUCCAGAGAGGGCUCUGGGCUGCUCAGUGACCCACAGGCUGCCCACCCUCACAGAGCCAGGCCUGUCCUGCUGCUGCUGAGCUGUUUGCUCACCCCAGGCUCCCUCCAAACGCCUGCCCUGGCCUGACAGGUAUCUCGUGGGUGGCAGUGCCCAUCCCAGGCCCACUCCCAGCUGGCCCUAUUUCUGGAGUUCAAAUGUUGGCAGGUAGGGGAGGUGAGACAUUUGAAGCACGAGGGCCUGUCACCGGGGAGGGGGAGGGAUAUUUAUCUGAGCUGAUGAAACUUCUUGUCAUUGCCCAGGGUUGGGAACUCGGCACAUGUGUUCUGAACCAUCAUUUCCAGGGCACGAGUGGGCUUGUUAUUCAGGACAAAGCAAACAAAGCGUUGUUGGAGUGGGCAGAGGGAUUUCUACCUGAAUAAAUUAUGCCCAGUUAUCACCACCUGGAUGGCAGUCACGUGCCAAGGGCUGAGACAACAUCACUCCCUUUGGAGUUCAGCGGGCUCCUUUGUCUUUUCCAGGCACUCAGCUGCAGGUCAGAUGGGCAAGAAGCUCUCCCUGGUGAUUUAAAGAGGUCUCUGUCACUGCCCCCAUUCCUCCUUUUGCCUUAUCCACAGAAAGCUGCUGCUGGUGACCUGCAGUUGCUCAGCAUGAACUUUGCUGCUUCAUCUGCAGUGACUGGUUUCUCCAAACCCUUGGAUGAGGGCCCUGGCUGUGCUGUGAUUCCCCCUUAGAUCUCUGCAGUUCUUCUACCUGAAGUGCAACAGAAAUAGGGAAAGUUCUCCUCAAAACUGUUCUUGCUGUAAUGGGCAGAUUUCACAGCCCUUCCCCAGUGUUGGUGACUCUUUCCUCAGUGGGGAAUGCUCAUGACAGGCAAUAAGGGAUGGCCAGGUAGCCCACAGGAUUGGUGGCCAGCUCUGCAGGGUGUCUGGGGCAGGGACCACCACUGUGUUCACAGUGACCAGAGCAGUGAGCUGUGAUCCUACAAACAAACCACUGCCCUUUCUAUUGCUUCCUCCCACGAGAACCAAAACCACCUGAGCAGGUACAGCUCUAGAAGAGUUUGGGCUUGGAUUAGAGACUUCAGAAGUCCUUUCCCUAAACACAGACAUGACUCAGGGCAUUCCACAGAGAUCAGUGACCAGAGGAACCUCCCUCUGUGGAUGCUGGUCCAGAAGGGGUUCAUUUCUGACCCAAAGCAGGUAAUACUUGGGUGUCUCUGCAGACUCACCUCCUGUUCGCCCAAAAGCAAUCUCACACCACUCAGGCCAGACAGGGUAUGACAGGCACAGCUGCCUUGAGCACUCACUCCCCAGGUCACCCACAGCCCAAGUGGCCCCAAAGGGUGCUGCCGCUGUCACCAGCCACCACAGCUGCUGGAAACCAGCUCCUUCUGCUGGCUGAAGGUUCUCUUGCUCUCUGAGACCCAGGAAGCCCCUGGCACAGUUGAGAGAGCCAGGGCUGGAGCACCAGAGCUGCUGGGAAAGAAAGGUUCUUCAUUUCAUUGCUCUUUCUGCUCCUUAGACAAACAUUUCAAUGCAGAUGCUGAGGACCUUUUAAUUCACUAGAAUUUCCCCAUAUGUGCCAUUUCUUCCAAAGUCAGUCCCUUUUUGGGAGGCCUUAGGUUUCUCCACAGGGCUGAUGAGCCAGAUACUGUGUGUGUCCAGUCCCCUUCUGGGGAGAGAAAUGAGUUUAUUCACCUCCCUCAAAGAGCUGGUGAAAUACCUGGUGCUGGUCACUCACGUGAGCGAUACCAGGAGCUGGAAGGGGCAGCUGGCAGGACAUUAAUGGCAGCUUGUUUGUGCUCUGAAGAGGCCAGAGACACAUGGCACCAGAGCUGAGAGGGAUCCGUGUCCUCCAGGCCCUCACCUCCCCCUGUACCCAGAGUGGUGGCCAUGGUUCUGCACACUCCUGGAGGAGAGGCUGCCCUGACCCCUGAGCUCUUCUUUUCCUUGAGCAAGUCCUGCAGGGCAGUGGUGCCCCCCUGUCCACUGCCCGUUAGUGCCAGCUCCUUGUGGCACUGGUCAGGUCACCCUGUGUGCCACCCCAACACCAGGUCACACCUCUGAAGACUGAGGGCAGUGUCAACGAAAGGUCCAGUGGAGAAAGUGGGUUCAUGCUCCCCUGAGACUGAAUCACAGAUCAUUUAGGGCGGAAAAGACCUCUGAGGUCAUCGAGUCCCCCCUGUGCCCAAUGCCCACCUUGUCCCCCAGCCCAGAGCACUGAGUGCCACGGCCAGGCCUUCCUUGGACACCUCCAGGGGACUCCACCACCUCCCUGGGCAGCCCCUGCCAAUGCCUGACCACCCUUUCCAGGAAGAAAUUCCUCCUGUUGUCCAAGCUGACCCUCCCCUGGCACAGCUUGAGACCUUUUUUCCUGAGCACAACAAGGCUGCAGCAGGACCUGUCGUGGUCAGAGCUGAUGGAGCCCCUGUGAUGCUCAGUGGUGAGGGGAGCACAGCCAGUGCUUCACCCUGAACCCCUCCCUUGCAGUGGAACAUUUCUCUGACCAGAAAACCAGCCUCUCCCCAUGUGCUCGUUCAGGCACUGGCAGCUGAGCCUGAGCAGAGGCCAGAGCUCAGCCAGGCUCAGCUUUCCUGCUCUAACCCAGAGGCUGUGACAGUGGUGCUGGGCAAACAGGAAAGGGAGGUGAGGGAGCAGAGGGCAGAGCGAGUCUGUGCCCCUUCUCCCGCUGCAGAGGUGUUUAUCCUAGUGACAAGUGCUGUGGGCCUUUCAUAACUGCUGCAUUAGCAGAGGAUCAAGUGGCACUUAAUGGGAGCAGUCUGCCUCACGAAGUGUGAUGGAAAAGGUCACGGGGGUUGAAGGGAAAACAUUUGCAGCAGGCUGACACAAGCCUUGGCUUCUGCCUGACAACAGGUGCCAGUUUGAUGGGCUGCCCUCCCCGUCCAGCAUGUUUGCUGCUCUCCCUCCUUCCGUGUGCUGGCUCAAUGUUUUGCACUGGCUCCAGGGAGCAUCUGCUGAGCUCCGUGGGUGGCACACAGGGAAUACAGCCCGCUGCAGAACGCAGGGAAAAGGUGAUUUGAGGCCAAAUGUUGGCUUCUGAAUGAGGGAAAACCAGGGAGUCGGGGGUGUGGCAAUGCUUCCUUGGGAAACUGCUCCAAGCUAAAUGGGCUGGUUGAUCAUGGCUGGGCUCUUCAAUGGCACAAUAAACAGCUUCUUUCCUCAA
Long non-coding RNA from Pseudopipra pipra, 8818 nucleotides. RefSeq lists it as uncharacterized. The transcript is spliced from 3 exons. The record is from RefSeq and is a predicted model, not a curated record. Lineage: Eukaryota; Metazoa; Chordata; Aves; Passeriformes; Pipridae.